UACGUAGGGUGCGAGCGUUAAUCGGAAUUACUGGGCGUAAAGGGUGCGCAGGCGGUUACGUAAGUCAGAUGUGAAAUCCCCGGGCUUAACCUGGGAAUUGCGUUUGAAACUAUGUGACUAGAGUGCAGUAGAGGGAGGUGGAAUUCCAUGUGUAGCAGUGGAAUGCGUAGAUAUAUGGAGGGACAUCGAUGGCGAAGGCAGCCUCCUGGACUGACACUGAUGCUCAUGCACGAAAGCGUGGGGAGCAAACAGG
This 253-nucleotide ribosomal RNA is filed under the name uncultured prokaryote. Its description in RNAcentral is "partial 16S ribosomal RNA". It matches the Rfam family "Bacterial small subunit ribosomal RNA", at positions 524 to 776 of the family's 1533-position model. The record is from RNAcentral.